AUUAGGUCUAUGCUUAAUUCAUACAAAUAUAUUGGUUAAUGAGGAAGAACAAAUUUUACCCGAAUUCCUAAAUUAUCUGAAAAAGUAAGCAGAAUUUGGCAGAUUGUUUCUAAAGAAACUAAUCAUUACUUUCAAAACCAACAGAGAAUAAUGAUGUGGCCUAUUGUUAAAGAAUAGGAGCAGGUAUUCAUACAAAUAUGGCGAUAGAGAGCUUGAAUAAAUAUCUGAAAUCUGAUAAAAUAGAAGGAAAAGAAAAUAAGAGUUGAAAAGCUAUCAGAUUUGUUGGAAGAAAUAGUUGAUGAGAAGAUGUGGAUGAAAAUUAUGAGAAAUGAAAGACCUAACUCCAACAACUAUCAAUAAAAAAUUUUUGUAGAAUCUCA
Harmonia axyridis is the source of this 380-nucleotide long non-coding RNA. RefSeq lists it as uncharacterized. The record is from RefSeq and is a predicted model, not a curated record. NCBI's taxonomy places the organism in Eukaryota, Metazoa, Arthropoda, Insecta, Coleoptera, Coccinellidae. The transcript is spliced from 2 exons.